GCCAGCAUGGCGUAGUGGUUUGAGCAUUGGGUUACGACUCUGGAGACCAGGGUUCGAUUCCCUACUAGGCCA
This 72-nucleotide transfer RNA is filed under the name Phrynosoma platyrhinos (Desert horned lizard). RNAcentral describes it as "tRNA-OTHER". Lineage: Eukaryota; Metazoa; Chordata; Lepidosauria; Squamata; Phrynosomatidae. The record is from RNAcentral.